AUGAGCCCGACAGACCCAGGGGGCAUUAAAGACCCUGAACCUGGAGGAGCCGUCAACUCAGCAUUUGGGAUGUGUGGAGCAAGUCAGGUACAGGGGAGAGAGAGACUGCGAUCCCACGGACAGACGGCCUGCAGGGGACAGAGAGGUCAGGCCGCCCAUCUCCAAGGUCAAGGGCUUGGGGGUCUGGUGCGAACCCCACAGGAAGACUGCAGGCAGGAGAGAGAUCUGCCUUCCAGCCCCGCAGGUGUCAGGGCAGCGCCCUGGACGGAACAGGGCAGGCUGGAUGUGGUCAGCAGCAGCCGGAGGCCUGAGACGCUCACCGCCUCCACUGGCAGGGGGACCUGGAGAAGACCGUGCACUCUGCCAUGCAUCAGUGGACAACCCAGAACGGCUCAGCAGCGGAAGUGGGACAGGGGAGUCACCAGCGGGAGCGCAGAGCCCAGCCCAAGGUGGAGCCGUGGUGGCGGGGAGCGGGGGAGGUGGCAUGCAGUCUGGCGGAGGGUGGCGCAGGGGCCGUGGGGGACAGAUAGCAGGGCAGACCAGACCCGCCAGCUCGGCCACGCAGCCGAGGAGGGAGAGCCGCUUGAGCCACAGGCAGAAGCGGACGGAGCUGCGGAAGAAGGCGCGAGCGAGUGGCUUCUGCCACUAACUCGGUUUAAUUCACUUAGCGGUGGGCAUGAUGCUGCAUUAAAAAAGAAAAAACCCCACAGAGCCAGAGGCCACGGAGGAAGGAGCAGGACGACGGCCAGACCCUGCACCUGCUGCACACCCAGCGCCUCCUCCCAGAGGGGUUGGGGCUGCUGGAGAGGAAGACAGCCCCCCCGCAGACCACCGGUCAUCUCUGGGUGCUCGCCCAGGUUGCCGACAGCAAGGCGGGCGACGUCCACAAAACCCAGCUCGUGGUCACCUCCGAGGGUACAGCAGCUCCCUCCGCCUCCAGCCUCCCCUGCAGGGGGCGGCAGGCACAGCACAGGACCACCGCAGAGGGCUCCAGCCGGCAGCGCCAGGCGACACACUCGCUCAGCAGCCAGCAGGCAAGGGCCCACCUAA
RNAcentral lists this long non-coding RNA (1050 nucleotides) under Oryctolagus cuniculus (rabbit). RNAcentral's name for it is "lncRNA (ENSOCUG00000035552.1)". The record is from RNAcentral. Lineage: Eukaryota; Metazoa; Chordata; Mammalia; Lagomorpha; Leporidae.